Molecule: non-coding RNA, 28 nt
Filed under: Homo sapiens (human)
Lineage: Eukaryota; Metazoa; Chordata; Mammalia; Primates; Hominidae
Source: RNAcentral
UAUGUUGGAAUUGAUCAACAAGGUUUGC